AUUGAACGCUGGCGGCAGGCCUAACACAUGCAAGUCGAGCGAGCGGCGGACGGGUGAGUAAUGUAUGGGGACUGCCCGAUAGAGGGGGAUAACUACGGGAAACGGUGGCUAAUACCGCAUACUAUCGGAUAACCCAUAGGGGAUUAGCUAGUAGGUGGGGUAAAGGCCCACCUAGGCGACGAUCUCGAGCUGGUCUGAGAGGAUGAUAAGCCACACGGGAACUAGGACACGGCCCAGACUCCUACGGAUGCAGCAGUGGGGAAUAUUGCACAAUGGGCGCAAGCCUGAUGCAGCCAUGCCGCGUGUAUGAAGAAGGCCUUCAGGUUGUAAAGUACUUUCAGCGGGGAGGCGUUACCCGCAGAAGAAGCACCGGCUAACUCCGUGCCAGCGGCCGCGGUAAUAC
Molecule: ribosomal RNA, 403 nt
Filed under: uncultured bacterium
Lineage: Bacteria
Description: partial 16S ribosomal RNA
Rfam family: Bacterial small subunit ribosomal RNA
Source: RNAcentral